RNAcentral lists this unclassified non-coding RNA (382 nucleotides) under uncultured bacterium. RNAcentral describes it as "contains 16S-23S intergenic spacer region". The record is from RNAcentral.
UCCGGUUUGUCACCGGCGGUCCCCUUAGAGUUCCCAACUUAAUGCUGGCAACUAAGGGCAAGGGUUGCGCUCGUUGCGGGACUUAACCCAACACCUCACGGCACGAGCUGACGACAGCCAUGCAGCACCUGUGCACCCUCCCGAUUCGACGAGUCGUCCCCCUUUCAGGGUUCUACUUGGUGCAUGUCAAGCCUAGGUGAGGUUCUUCGCGUUGCAUCGAAUUAAACCACACGCUCCGCUGCUUGUGCGGGCCCCCGUCAAUUCCUUUGAGUUUCAGCCUUGCGGCCGUACUCCCCAGGCGGGACACUUACUGCGUUAGCUUCGGCACGGGAGGAGUCGACACCUCCCACACCUAGUGCCCAUCGUUUACGGCGUGGACUAC